Molecule: long non-coding RNA, 1108 nt
Filed under: Salmo salar (Atlantic salmon)
Lineage: Eukaryota; Metazoa; Chordata; Actinopteri; Salmoniformes; Salmonidae
Description: lncRNA (ENSSSAG00000071327.2)
Source: RNAcentral
GAAAGUGGAGAUGCGGAGUUCACUAAUGAAGACUCUCUAGGCAUCAGCUGACCCAAGACCAGCAGCAACGCAGCACAGCAGAGGAGCUACCACAACACAAACGCUAGAGCAAGACCUACCAAGACCAACUUUUCCACUUUUUUUUGACGAGCUUCAAACUCAAGACCAAUAUCUAAACAUGCCAGCCUACAUGGACAUCACUCUUCAGGACAGCAUGAACGUGAACGAUCAGCACAUUAGGUGUAAACUCUCUCUGUUUGAGAGGAAAUGCAUCAGUAGUAUGGAGAAACUGAAGAUAGUCAUUGGAGGACACGUCCAGAACGGGAUCCCUACAUCUCCCAUAUCUCCUAUUUUGGAGAAGACGGUGUCCUUUUUCACUCCGAAGAAGGCCUUGGUGUCACCCACCGGCUAUUCCAAAUGUUCCAGGGACAUGCUGCGCCUUUUUCCCGCUCCAGAGGAGGACAUUGUACCACUGCUUUGAACAAUGAAUUGAGAGAGACGCAUGGAUGUGGAGGUUAUAGGUCAGGGGUCACAUACUGGGCUGAGACUAGGGUCUGAGACAAAAUGAUCACUGCACUGUGAGAUACAAACCCGUGGGAAGGGCAUGAAUUGAGCUUAAGGCAAGCAGAGCACAAUAUACUGUUUAUGUGCAAAUUCUGCUCAGAUUAUAUGUGCCAUUUCUACGUCUGUUCCCACCAUGGUGAAUGGUUGGUUGUCUUAUUUGGACCCGACUGUCAGAGACAGGUCUGGAACCUAUGCUUUUGUUUUACAUGACAUUUAAAGCUGCAGAUUCAUUUGAAAUGAAUUGUGUGCAUUGAUAUAAGCAGAGUUGUACUGCUUCAUUCUUUCUGUGAAAUGAUGAACCAAAUACAUUGUUUCAAGGAGAAAUAAUGCCUUGAUUCAAGUUGGAAAAUAAAUCUACACGCAUACCUUUAUUUUUGGAAAGGAACAGUGCAUUGUUGUGCAUGAUACAUAAAGUAAAUGUUUAUUUUAUUGUAAGACCCCAAAGGGGAUUUAUAUUCUUGUUAAUAUUGUAGUUUAUUUUUGUAAGCUAAUAAAACUGCAAACAAAAUCCACUUUUCUUUUGUCUAUUCCUCAUAUCUGGGAU